This 520-nucleotide ribosomal RNA is filed under the name uncultured Glomus. RNAcentral's name for it is "SSU rRNA". It matches the Rfam family "Eukaryotic small subunit ribosomal RNA", at positions 569 to 1090 of the family's 1831-position model. The record is from RNAcentral. Lineage: Eukaryota; Fungi; Glomeromycota; Glomeromycetes; Glomerales; Glomeraceae.
AGCAGCCGCGGUAAUUCCAGCUCCAAUAGCGUAUAUUAAAGUUGUUGCAGUUAAAAGGCUCGUAGUUGAAUUUCGGGGUUAGUAGGUUGGUCAUGCCUCUGGUAUGUACUGGCCUCACUGAUUCCUCCUUCCUGAUGAACCGUAAUGCCAUUAAUUUGGUGUUGCGGGGAAUUUGGACUGUUACUUUGAAAAAUUAGAGUGUUUAAAGCAGGCUCACGCUUGAAUACAUUAGCAUGGAAUAACGAAAUAGGACGUUUGAUUUUAUUUUGUUGGUUUCUAGGAUCGACGUAAUGAUUAAUAGGGAUAGUUGGGGGCAUUAGUAUUCAAUUGUCAGAGGUGAAAUUCUUGGAUUUAUUGAAGACUAACUACUGCGAAAGCAUUUGCCAAGGAUGUUUUCAUUAAUCAAGAACGAAAGUUAGGGGAUCGAAGACGAUCAGAUACCGUCGUAGUCUUAACCAUAAACUAUGCCGACUAGGGAUCGGAUGAUGUUAAUUUUUUAAUGUACUCAUUCGGCGCCUUA